This is a long non-coding RNA of Silurus meridionalis, 700 nucleotides long. RefSeq lists it as uncharacterized. The transcript has 2 exons. The record is from RefSeq and is a predicted model, not a curated record. NCBI's taxonomy places the organism in Eukaryota, Metazoa, Chordata, Actinopteri, Siluriformes, Siluridae.
UUCACUCUGUGUGUCUUUGUUUGUUUAUUAGUACUGUAGUGUGAGAAGACCCACGCGGCAGCUGUGUGUGUGUGUGUGUGUGUGUGUGUGUGUGCGCGCGCGCGCUCCCCUGUGGUACUAUGGACUUUUUUCUUCUCUCCCGCUCAAUCAUUCAGUCAAGCAAUUAAUUAAUUAAUCAAUCAGACAUCACGUGAUCAAUAGACCUGAGACUGAAAUGUGGCGAGUUCUUCAAAAACCUACAGACGCUGUGUGUGUGUGUGUGUGUGUGUGUGUGUGUGUGUGUGUGUGUGUGUGUGUUUAACUUUAUAACUGAACUGGUUGAACUUGACCACAUUUUCACACACACACACACACACACACGCGCGCACGCACGCGCGAUGAAGUGUGUGUAGUCACUCGGAGGUGAAUUUGGAGCGCUUGAUAGAAACCUUCUUACACACACCAGAGAUUCGCAUGCUGGAAGUCUGAAUAGAUCCGGACUCCAGUGCCGUAAACACUAAUCUCCCACCUCCAUCAAUCAUCUUCUGUCCUCACUUUCUGAUUGGCUGUUGAAGAUUUUUCUGGCUGUUGCUCAUCACUUUACCGGGGGUGUGUCACAGUUUCCAUGGCAACCAGCACAACGUUUUUGUUUUUUGUUGUAACCCUGAUUUGUUAUCUGAUUGUAUUUACCAGUUUAGUGUUAAUUAAUGUGUUUAAUGUC